CGAAGGGGGCUAGCGUUGCUCGGAAUCACUGGGCGUAAAGGGUGCGUAGGCGGGUCUUUAAGUCAGGGGUGAAAUCCUGGAGCUCAACUCCAGAACUGCCUUUGAUACUGAAGAUCUUGAGUUCGGGAGAGGUGAGUGGAACUGCGAGUGUAGAGGUGAAAUUCGUAGAUAUUCGCAAGAACACCAGUGGCGAAGGCGGCUCACUGGCCCGAUACUGACGCUGAGGCACGAAAGCGUGGGGAGCAAACAGGAUUAGAUACCCUGGUAGUCCACACCGUAAACGAUGAAUGCCAGCCGUUAGUGGGUUUACUCACUAGUGGCGCAGCUAACGCUUUAAGCAUUCCGCCUGGGGAGUACGGUCGCAAGAUUA
This 370-nucleotide ribosomal RNA is filed under the name uncultured organism. RNAcentral describes it as "bacterial SSU rRNA". It matches the Rfam family "Bacterial small subunit ribosomal RNA", at positions 526 to 896 of the family's 1533-position model. The record is from RNAcentral.